GGCGCUCGGGCCUCGGCGCGGAGCGGGGCGGCCGCGGGCAGCAGGAACCGCAGGGCUCGGUCGGCCGAAGUUGAGCGAACAAAAUGCGAAAGGCCGGUAGAGGACUGUGAAAGAAAAGUUAUCCCGCAGGAUGGACUUCACCGCGCAGCCCAAGCCUGCCACGGCUCUCUGUGGCGUCGUGAGUGCUGACGGAAAGAUCGCCUACCCUCCCGGAGUGAAGGAGAUCACCGACAAGAUCACUACCGACGAAAUGAUCAAACGACUGAAGAUGGUAGUGAAAACUUUCAUGGAUAUGGAUCAGGACUCAGAAGAUGAAAAACAGCAGUAUCUCCCACUAGCCUUGCAUCUUGCAUCUGAAUUCUUCCUCAGGAACCCUAAUAAGGACGUGCGUCUCCUUGUAGCAUGUUGUUUAGCUGACAUAUUUCGAAUCUAUGCCCCAGAAGCUCCAUAUACUUCCCAUGAUAAACUUAAGGACAUAUUUUUGUUUAUUACUCGACAAUUGAAAGGUUUGGAAGAUACAAAGAGUCCACAGUUUAAUAGAUACUUUUAUUUAUUAGAGAAUUUAGCUUGGGUUAAAUCAUAUAAUAUCUGCUUUGAAUUGGAAGAUUGCAAUGAAAUUUUUAUUCAGCUUUUUAGAACUCUCUUCUCAGUGAUCAACAAUAGCCACAAUAAGAAGGUACAAAUGCACAUGCUAGACUUGAUGAGUUCUAUCAUCAUGGAAGGUGAUGGAGUUACUCAAGAAUUAUUGGACUCCAUACUUAUUAACCUCAUACCUGCACAUAAGAACUUAAAUAAACAGUCCUUUGACCUUGCAAAAGUCCUCUUAAAGAGGACAGUUCAGACUAUUGAGGCAUGCAUUGCCAAUUUUUUUAAUCAAGUCCUGGUGCUGGGAAGAUCGUCAGUAAGUGAUUUGUCAGAACAUGUAUUUGAUCUCAUUCAGGAACUUUUUGCCAUAGAUCCUCAUUUGUUAUUAUCUGUCAUGCCACAGCUUGAAUUCAAACUGAAGAGCAAUGAUGGAGAAGAACGAUUAGCUGUAGUUCGACUUCUAGCUAAAUUGUUUGGCUCUAAAGAUUCUGAUUUGGCAACGCAGAAUCGACCUCUUUGGCAGUGUUUUCUUGGACGAUUCAAUGACAUUCACGUUCCUGUCAGAUUAGAAAGUGUGAAAUUUGCCAGUCACUGUUUAAUGAAUCACCCAGAUUUAGCAAAGGAUCUCACAGAAUAUUUGAAGGUUAGAUCACAUGACCCAGAAGAAGCUAUUCGUCAUGAUGUCAUUGUUACUAUAAUAACAGCUGCCAAAAGAGACCUUGCCUUAGUAAAUGAUCAGCUCCUUGGUUUUGUAAGGGAAAGAACACUGGAUAAACGGUGGCGAGUACGAAAAGAAGCUAUGAUGGGUUUGGCUCAAUUGUAUAAGAAGUACUGUCUUCAUGGUGAAGCCGGAAAAGAAGCUGCAGAGAAAGUCAGCUGGAUAAAGGACAAACUUUUGCAUAUUUAUUAUCAGAAUAGCAUUGAUGACAAGCUGUUGGUGGAGAAAAUCUUUGCUCAGUAUCUUGUUCCUCACAACCUGGAAACAGAAGAGAGAAUGAAAUGUUUGUAUUACUUAUAUGCUAGUUUGGAUCCAAACGCUGUAAAAGCUCUCAAUGAAAUGUGGAAGUGUCAGAAUAUGCUUCGGAGUCAUGUUCGCGAGUUACUGGAUUUGCACAAGCAGCCUACGUCAGAGGCUAACUGUUCUGCCAUGUUUGGAAAGCUGAUGACCAUAGCAAAAAACUUGCCUGAUCCUGGCAAAGCACAAGAUUUUGUGAAGAAAUUUAACCAGGUUCUUGGUGAUGAUGAGAAGCUUCGGUCUCAGUUGGAGUUAUUAAUCAGCCCUACCUGUUCAUGCAAACAGGCAGAUGUUUGUGUGAGAGAAAUAGCUCGGAAACUUGCUAAUCCUAAGCAACCAACAAAUCCUUUCCUAGAGAUGGUCAAAUUUCUGUUGGAAAGAAUUGCACCUGUGCACAUUGAUUCAGAAGCCAUAAGUGCACUAGUAAAAUUGAUGAACAAGUCAAUAGAAGGGACUGCAGAUGAUGAAGAGGAGGGUGUAAGUCCAGAUACAGCUAUUCGUUCAGGACUUGAACUUCUUAAGGUUCUGUCUUUUACACAUCCUACCUCGUUCCACUCUGCAGAGACAUAUGAGUCCUUGUUACAGUGCCUAAGAAUGGAGGAUGACAAGGUAGCAGAAGCUGCCAUACAGAUUUUUAGAAAUACAGGCCACAAAAUAGAAACAGACCUUCCUCAGAUACGAUCGACCUUAAUUCCCAUUUUACAUCAAAAAGCAAAGAGGGGUACUCCACACCAAGCAAAACAGGCCGUGCACUGUAUACAUGCCAUAUUCACAAAUAAAGAAGUCCAGCUUGCACAGAUUUUUGAGCCACUCAGUAGGAGUCUGAAUGCUGAUGUACCAGAACAACUUAUAACUCCGUUAGUUUCAUUGGGCCACAUUUCCAUGUUAGCACCAGAUCAGUUUGCUUCCCCAAUGAAAUCUGUAGUAGCAAAUUUUAUUGUGAAAGAUCUACUAAUGAAUGACAGGUCAACAGGUGAAAAGAAUGGCAAAUUGUGGUCUCCAGAUGAAGAAGUUUCUCCUGAAGUACUAGCAAAGGUACAGGCAAUUAAACUUCUGGUAAGGUGGCUGUUGGGUAUGAAAAACAACCAGUCUAAAUCUGCCAAUUCAACUCUUCGCUUGUUAUCGGCAAUGUUGGUUAGUGAGGGUGACCUGACAGAGCAAAAGAGGAUCAGUAAAUCUGAUAUGUCUCGCUUGCGAUUAGCUGCUGGUAGUGCCAUAAUGAAGCUUGCUCAGGAGCCUUGUUACCAUGAAAUUAUUACUCCAGAACAGUUUCAGCUCUGUGCACUUGUUAUUAAUGAUGAGUGUUACCAAGUAAGGCAGAUAUUUGCUCAGAAGCUGCAUAAGGCACUUGUGAAGCUGCUCCUCCCAUUGGAGUAUAUGGCAAUCUUUGCCUUGUGUGCCAAAGAUCCUGUGAAGGAGAGAAGAGCACAUGCACGGCAAUGUUUACUAAAAAACAUCAGUAUAAGAAGGGAGUACAUUAAGCAGAACCCUAUGGCUACUGAAAAAUUGUUGUCGCUGUUGCCUGAAUACGUGGUUCCAUACAUGAUUCACUUGCUUGCCCAUGAUCCAGAUUUUACAAGAUCACAAGAUGUUGAUCAGCUUCGUGAUAUCAAAGAGUGCCUAUGGUUUAUGCUUGAAGUUUUAAUGACAAAGAAUGAAAACAAUAGCCAUGCCUUUAUGAAGAAGAUGGCAGAAAACAUUAAAUUAACCAGAGAUGCCCAAUCUCCGGAUGAAUCCAAGACAAAUGAAAAACUAUAUACAGUAUGUGAUGUGGCUCUGUGUGUCAUAAACAGUAAGAGUGCUCUGUGUAAUGCAGACUCACCAAAGGAUCCAGUCCUCCCAAUGAAGUUUUUCACUCAACCUGAAAAGGACUUUUGUAAUGACAAGAGUUAUAUUUCAGAAGAGACAAGAGUACUUCUGUUAACAGGAAAGCCAAAACCUACUGGAGUACUGGGUGCAGUAAAUAAGCCUCUAUCAGCAACAGGAAGGAAACCCUAUGUUAGAAGCACUGGCACUGAGACUGGGAGCAAUGUCAGUGUAAAUUCAGAACUGAACUCCUCAACAGGAAAUCGAGCAAGGGAACAGAGUUCCGAGACACCAGAGACUGGAGUUAGUGAAAAUGAAGAGAAUCCUGUGAGAAUUAUUUCUGUAACACCUGUAAAGAAUAUUGAGCCAGUAAAGAAUAAGGAAAUUAAUUCUGAUCAGGCUACCCAGGGCAACAUCAGCAGUGACCGAGGAAAGAAAAGAACAGUCCCAGCAGCUGGUGCAGAGAAUAUCCAACAAAAAACAGAUGAGAAAAUAGAUGAAUCAGGACCACCCGCCCCUUCUAAACCCAGGAGAGGACGUCGACCCAAGUCUGAGUCUCAGGGCAACACAACCAAAAAUGAUGAUAUAAACAAACCCACAAGCAAGGGAAGGAAAAGAGCUGCUGCAAGUCAGGAGAGCCCUGGGGGUCUGGAAGCCAAUAAUGCCAAAGCGCCCAAACUGCAAGACGGAGCCAAAAAGGCAGCACCCACAGAGAGACAAAUCGACCUGCAGAGGUAAAAGACAACUCAUUUGCAGAGGGAAAAAUGAAGGCCCAACAGAAGUGUUUGCAGCUUCUGCGAAGACUUGCAUUCGGAAUGUCCCUACAGAACAUGGAGUUCACUUACGAACACACCCUCCGCCUUGCAGACUGAGAGAAGCCCCGCUCCCUCUCCCCGAGGCAGAGCCCGGGAGGAAAUGUGCAGCGAGAGCGCUCACAACAGAGGCUCAAAGCAGCUCUGCACUCCCCUAGACUUUUCCCAGGAAAAGUCAAUAAUUAAGCAAAUUGCUUAACACUUGGUUCCAGUUCCUGCAUAUCUGGAGUUUAAAUGCAUAAUACAUCAUUAAUUUCCAUGCUGCAGUUUUUAUUUUAAAGUAACAAGAUGUCCUUAUAUUGACACUGAAAAUUCAUCUAUUCUAAAGCCAGGAAUUUCCAUGUCACACAAGAAAAUAGAAGUCUACUGAAUUUUUUUUUAGAAGAAAAGAUCAGAUUAAAUAUUUCUUUGUUUUUCCUUUUGGAAACUUUUAUGUAUAAUUCUUUCUGCCUGUCUACUUUUCUGCAAAAAAUGAGGUGUACAGAUUUUCAGUUCCCUGCUAUGAAAAGUGAUGUGGUAGCAAUUUUAUAAAUGUUGCUUUCUGAUUUUUAUCAGAGUGAGAAAAUAAUUAAAGUUAUUGAUUUGCAAGUAGUAAACUUCAUAUUUUGAUUUUCCCUCCAUUUUAGUUUAAUAUAAUUUGCAACAAAUGUACAUAUUGUGUUUCAUAAAACAUUAAAAAGAUUUUUAGUCCCAUGACCAUGAUGGAAUAUUGGAAUUUUGAUGAAGACUGUUCAACAUUUGGUUUUACAUUUGUCACCAAAUUUUAUUAAAAAAAAAAAAAAAAAUCAAUUUUUUUUCUAACUAGUUGGACUCUGGCAGCUUUGUAAGGGAAGUUGGAGGUGUUUAGGGCCGCUCUCAAUUUGCAGCUUUGUGCUAUUGAGAGAUAUGUGUUCAGUUUUUGUCUGCUGGUCUGGGCUCAGUUCCUAUCUUUAUUUUAGAAACACCUAUUGCAGUACAUUACAUUUCUUGGCAUUGUCAGCAUAGGCAAUAUGUGCACUUUUGGGUGCGCACUCAUAUUUAAAUUUUUUUGCAUAAAAUAAAUGCUUCUAGAUAUCAUGACAGUCUUUUAAUCUUUUUAUCAUAUUAUGCU
RNA transcript from Octodon degus (degu), 5308 nucleotides. It is a transcript of the gene named PDS5 cohesin associated factor A, with no coding region annotated. Lineage: Eukaryota; Metazoa; Chordata; Mammalia; Rodentia; Octodontidae. The record is from RefSeq and is a predicted model, not a curated record. The transcript is spliced from 34 exons.